Molecule: long non-coding RNA, 1467 nt
Organism: Cucurbita moschata (crookneck pumpkin)
Lineage: Eukaryota; Viridiplantae; Streptophyta; Magnoliopsida; Cucurbitales; Cucurbitaceae
Exons: 2
Source: RefSeq, a predicted model, not a curated record
UGUGAGAUCUCACAUUAGUUAGAGAAGAAAACGAAGCAUUCCUUAUAAACAUUCGUGAUACCUUCCCAACCAUCGAUGAACCGAAGCCCUAAUCAACUAUAAACAUAUUUAAAAGGGGUUUUUAUACAAAGGUGGAAGUUGGGUGAGUAAUGAUUUAUGGACAUGGGUUAAGUUCACUUUUUAUGGACACAAACAACCCUUCCUUUCUUUUCUCCCUCAAAACCUUUACCGUUUUGUUGAUGCUGUUCUUCACGAGACUCUAUAUUCCUCUAGGGUUCUUCAUAAAUCUUCUUCUUCUUCUUCUUCUUCAUCAUCUACGAACUCGAUUUCUUCGCACGAAAGCCGAACCGAUAGCCAUGGAGGUCCGAUCGAUAGCAGCCAUUAUUUGUUGGCGCAGCACCAUCAAGAUUCACAAGGCUUCCCAUCUUUAAAUUUCUCUCUUCAUUGAAGAAAGAAGAACAAAGGCUUCUCCUUUGGGAAUCUUGAUGAUGCUGCAUCGUCAAUUACAUGGCUUAUAAAUGAAAUCCAGAAUUUGGGUUCAGAUUUUGAGGCCAUUUCUGAAUCUGGGUAGCUUUUAGAUUUUCAUUUGUAAUUAUCUUUGUUUUUCGACUAUUUUUGGACAAACAUAUUGAAUGGACCACUCGUUUUGUACUAUGUUUUACUGUCUACUGCUUUUUUCCACCCUAAUUUACUAUCCUUCCGCCUUCGAAUAUGUGCUUCAAAUACUUCCAAAAAUUUAAAAUUUUGAUUGUUUUUUCAAUGAAUUUCAUUGUUUUUGCUAGAUUUUGUGGACAUCAACAGUGGCAGAAGCCAGCUGAGUUGAAAACACAGCGUCUCGACAGUAUUAAUAACAUAGAGAAGAAGAACACCACGUUGAGACAUUGAUUAUGUUGUAAGAUCCCUUGCACGCAUGUCUUAUGUUGGACGAGGAAACUUUGGACUCGUCUCGAAAGUAUCGGGGAAAAUUAUUCUACCACUUAAAUUUGCCUCCCUAUUGAUUUUUGUGGUUGAAAUUGAAAGAGGUGCACCAAUACGAACAAAAGAGGCAACAAUAAAGGCUUUUGUGAGCGAGACAAGUCAAUCAGGUGCGCAUAGGUUAUUUGUAGCUCUAUGUGAUAUUCAAACAAUGCAUUAUUAGGACAUUAUACAUAUGUACUUAUAUUUCUACUUAUAUGCUCUAAUUAAUUAGCCCAUCACAAACUAAGCCUAACCCUAAUUAGGUAAAAUAACGAUGAUUUUCUCUCGUGUUUUGGGUCAUAUCGAGGACUUCUUAUUAUGGUUCUACGUUAAUGUCCAACUCUUAAUGGAGAAUUUGAUGUACCGACUCUUGUCGUGCGUGUAAAAGUUUAUGUUUUGAUAUAUCUUUCAGGUCAUAAUAAGCCGUGUUAAUAACUUAAUAUUUAUUAUGUUAGACCAUUUGUAAUUGAUAUGUUCAGGGAUAAUAUGGUUCGGUAAUUUAUGUUCGUG